GGGUUGUGAGGUUAAGCGACUAAGCGUACACGGUGGAUGCCCUGGCAGUCAGAGGCGAUGAAGGACGUGCUAAUCUGCGAUAAGCGUCGGUAAGGUGAUAUGAACCGUUAUAACCGGCGAUUUCCGAAUGGGGAAACCCAGUGUGAUUCGUCACACUAUCAUUAACUGAAUCCAUAGGUUAAUGAGGCGAACCGGGGGAACUGAAACAUCUAAGUACCCCGAGGAAAAGAAAUCAACCGAGAUUCCCCCAGUAGCGGCGAGCGAACGGGGAGCAGCCCAGAGCCUGAAUCAGUGUGUGUGUUAGUGGAAGCGUCUGGAAAGGCGCGCGAUACAGGGUGACAGCCCCGUACACAAAAAUGCACAUGCUGUGAGCUCGAUGAGUAGGGCGGGACACGUGGUAUCCUGUCUGAAUAUGGGGGGACCAUCCUCCAAGGCUAAAUACUCCUGACUGACCGAUAGUGAACCAGUACCGUGAGGGAAAGGCGAAAAGAACCCCGGCGAGGGGAGUGAAAAAGAACCUGAAACCGUGUACGUACAAGCAGUGGGAGCACGCUUAGGCGUGUGACUGCGUACCUUUUGUAUAAUGGGUCAGCGACUUAUAUUCUGUAGCAAGGUUAACCGAAUAGGGGAGCCGAAGGGAAACCGAGUCUUAACUGGGCGUUAAGUUGCAGGGUAUAGACCCGAAACCCGGUGAUCUAGCCAUGGGCAGGUUGAAGGUUGGGUAACACUAACUGGAGGACCGAACCGACUAAUGUUGAAAAAUUAGCGGAUGACUUGUGGCUGGGGGUGAAAGGCCAAUCAAACCGGGAGAUAGCUGGUUCUCCCCGAAAGCUAUUUAGGUAGCGCCUCGUGAACUCAUCUCCGGGGGUAGAGCACUGUUUCGGCAAGGGGGUCAUCCCGACUUACCAACCCGAUGCAAACUGCGAAUACCGGAGAAUGUUAUCACGGGAGACACACGGCGGGUGCUAACGUCCGUCGUGAAGAGGGAAACAACCCAGACCGCCAGCUAAGGUCCCAAAGUCAUGGUUAAGUGGGAAACGAUGUGGGAAGGCCCAGACAGCCAGGAUGUUGGCUUAGAAGCAGCCAUCAUUUAAAGAAAGCGUAAUAGCUCACUGGUCGAGUCGGCCUGCGCGGAAGAUGUAACGGGGCUAAACCAUGCACCGAAGCUGCGGCAGCGACGCUUAUGCGUUGUUGGGUAGGGGAGCGUUCUGUAAGCCUGUGAAGGUGUACUGUGAGGUAUGCUGGAGGUAUCAGAAGUGCGAAUGCUGACAUAAGUAACGAUAAAGCGGGUGAAAAGCCCGCUCGCCGGAAGACCAAGGGUUCCUGUCCAACGUUAAUCGGGGCAGGGUGAGUCGACCCCUAAGGCGAGGCCGAAAGGCGUAGUCGAUGGGAAACAGGUUAAUAUUCCUGUACUUGGUGUUACUGCGAAGGGGGGACGGAGAAGGCUAUGUUGGCCGGGCGACGGUUGUCCCGGUUUAAGCGUGUAGGCUGGUUUUCCAGGCAAAUCCGGAAAAUCAAGGCUGAGGCGUGAUGACGAGGCACUACGGUGCUGAAGCAACAAAUGCCCUGCUUCCAGGAAAAGCCUCUAAGCAUCAGGUAACAUCAAAUCGUACCCCAAACCGACACAGGUGGUCAGGUAGAGAAUACCAAGGCGCUUGAGAGAACUCGGGUGAAGGAACUAGGCAAAAUGGUGCCGUAACUUCGGGAGAAGGCACGCUGAUAUGUAGGUGAAGCGACUUGCUCGUGGAGCUGAAAUCAGUCGAAGAUACCAGCUGGCUGCAACUGUUUAUUAAAAACACAGCACUGUGCAAACACGAAAGUGGACGUAUACGGUGUGACGCCUGCCCGGUGCCGGAAGGUUAAUUGAUGGGGUCAGCGCAAGCGAAGCUCUUGAUCGAAGCCCCGGUAAACGGCGGCCGUAACUAUAACGGUCCUAAGGUAGCGAAAUUCCUUGUCGGGUAAGUUCCGACCUGCACGAAUGGCGUAAUGAUGGCCAGGCUGUCUCCACCCGAGACUCAGUGAAAUUGAACUCGCUGUGAAGAUGCAGUGUACCCGCGGCAAGACGGAAAGACCCCGUGAACCUUUACUAUAGCUUGACACUGAACAUUGAGCCUUGAUGUGUAGGAUAGGUGGGAGGCUUUGAAGUGUGGACGCCAGUCUGCAUGGAGCCGACCUUGAAAUACCACCCUUUAAUGUUUGAUGUUCUAACGUUGACCCGUAAUCCGGGUUGCGGACAGUGUCUGGUGGGUAGUUUGACUGGGGCGGUCUCCUCCUAAAGAGUAACGGAGGAGCACGAAGGUUGGCUAAUCCUGGUCGGACAUCAGGAGGUUAGUGCAAUGGCAUAAGCCAGCUUGACUGCGAGCGUGACGGCGCGAGCAGGUGCGAAAGCAGGUCAUAGUGAUCCGGUGGUUCUGAAUGGAAGGGCCAUCGCUCAACGGAUAAAAGGUACUCCGGGGAUAACAGGCUGAUACCGCCCAAGAGUUCAUAUCGACGGCGGUGUUUGGCACCUCGAUGUCGGCUCAUCACAUCCUGGGGCUGAAGUAGGUCCCAAGGGUAUGGCUGUUCGCCAUUUAAAGUGGUACGCGAGCUGGGUUUAGAACGUCGUGAGACAGUUCGGUCCCUAUCUGCCGUGGGCGCUGGAGAACUGAGGGGGGCUGCUCCUAGUACGAGAGGACCGGAGUGGACGCAUCACUGGUGUUCGGGUUGUCAUGCCAAUGGCACUGCCCGGUAGCUAAAUGCGGAAGAGAUAAGUGCUGAAAGCAUCUAAGCACGAAACUUGCCCCGAGAUGAGUUCUCCCUGACUCCUUGAGAGUCCUGAAGGAACGUUGAAGACGACGACGUUGAUAGGCCGGGUGUGUAAGCGCAGCGAUGCGUUGAGCUAACCGGUACUAAUGAACCGUGAGGCUUAACCUUACAACGCCGAAGCUGUU
This 2930-nucleotide ribosomal RNA is filed under the name Escherichia coli. RNAcentral's name for it is "23S ribosomal RNA". It matches the Rfam family "Bacterial large subunit ribosomal RNA". The record is from RNAcentral. Lineage: Bacteria; Pseudomonadati; Pseudomonadota; Gammaproteobacteria; Enterobacterales; Enterobacteriaceae.